Diceros bicornis minor is the source of this 1572-nucleotide non-coding RNA. NCBI's taxonomy places the organism in Eukaryota, Metazoa, Chordata, Mammalia, Perissodactyla, Rhinocerotidae. The record is from the annotation of a RefSeq genome assembly.
UUCUUAGUCUUUGCAAGGUCGUCGAGAGGGCAUUCACACCUCCGAGGACCCGGCUAUGAACUCCAAGGAGCAGGGCAGUGGGCACAGAGCGCCAGGCCAUGAGGAGCCACAUGUGCCUGGGUCCAGAGCACAGAGCGGGCUGGGGUUCUUCAGAGACCCAGGCUGGGCUGUGGGGCAGCCGACUUGAUGUCCCCCACCCUCGCUUCCACCACAGCCCCAUCAGUCUUCCCGCUGGCCCCCAGCUGUCGGACCACAUCUGGCCCCACAGUGGCCCUGGCCUGCUUGGUCUCUGGCUACUUCCCAGAACCAGUGACCGUGUCCUGGAACUCAGGCGCCCUGACCAGCGGCGUGCACACCUUCCCGUCCGUCCUGCGGUCCUCGGGGCUCUACUCCCUCAGCAGCACGGUGACCGUGCCUGCCAGCAGCUGGCCGAGCCAGACCUUCAUCUGCAACGUAGCCCACCCAGCCAGCAGCACCAAGGUGGACAAGAGAGUCGAGCCCCCACCUCCCAAGCCAGAUGAUCAGCCCAGACCACCCAAGCCAGAAGAUCAGCCCACUCCACCCAAGCAGGAUGAUCAGCCAGACUGCCCCAAGUGUCCCAAAUGCACAGCUCCUGAACUCCCGGGAGGGCCUUCGGUCUUCAUCUUCCCCCCGAAAAUCCAGGACACCCUCACGAUCUCCCGGACGCCCGAGGUCACCUGCGUGGUGGUGGACGUGAGCCAGGACAACCCCGAUGUCCAGUUCACCUGGUACGUGGAUGGCACAGAGGUGAGCACGGCCACGACGAAGCCGAAGGAGGAGCAGUUCAACAGCACCUACCGCGUGGUCAGUGUCCUCCCCAUCCAGCACCAGGACUGGCUGAAGGGAAAGGAGUUCAAGUGUAAGGUCAACAACAGAGCCCUCCCGGCCCCCAUUGAGCGGACCAUCUCCAAGGCCAAAGGGCAGGCCCGGAAGCCGCAGGUGUACGUGCUGCCCCCACACCGGGAGGAGCUGGCUGAGAGCACGGUCAGCGUCACCUGCCUGGUCAAAGACUUCUACCCAUCUGACAUCGACGUCGAGUGGCAGAGCAACAAGCAGACAGAGCCGGAGGACAAGUACAGCACCACCCCACCCCAGCAGGAGGGCGAUGGGUCCUACUUCCUGUACAGCAAGCUCUCGGUGGAGACAAACAGGUGGAAGCAGGGAGACGUGUUCACGUGUGGGGUGAUGCACGAGGCUCUCCACAAACAGUACACGCAGAAAUCCACCUCCCAGUCUCCGGAGGUGGUCCUGGACGAGAGCUGUGUCGAGACCCAGGACGGGGAGCUGGACGGGCUGUGGACCACCAUCUCCAUCUUCAUCAUGCUCUUCCUGCUCAGCGUGUGCUACAGCGCCACCGUCACCCUCUUCAAGGUGAAGUGGAUCUUCUCCUCGGUGGUGGAGAUGAAGGAGACGAUGGUCCCCAACUACGGGAACAUGAUCGGGCAGGGGGCCUAGGGCCACUCCUCCUGGGUGGGCGUCCAAGGCUGGUCCAGACCCCAGACAGGAUCAGGGUCCUUCGGUUCAUUAUGCUCAGCCUGCCACCCAGACCUG